CGCCAAACCGCUCUAUUCGCGAAAGAAUAGCAGAUCCGUUUUUGUUUUCUAUAAGCUCGUCAUUAAUUACGUGAUCUACAAUUAGAAUUAUUUAAAUAUCUGCUUUAUUUUAAUCGGCUUAAACAACCGACAGGCAAUUCGGCGCCGACGCCGGUCAUGAGCCGUCCAUACUCGCCAUUUUGUCAUUUUGCAAACUAAGAAAAUGCAAACAAAACAUUAUUUGCCCUAAACACGCGUUACUCUCAAAUAAUAUUGCCGAAUGCCGACAAAGUGAUCUUGUUUUAUCAAACUGAACUCCGAACUGCAAUUGCAAUGUAAUUUUCCGAUAGCGAAAGUGAGGUUAUGAAAUUGACAUGACAUUUAGUGAAUGCAAUGCAAUGGACAUGUGUUUUGUUGUUUUUCUCAUCAAGAUAAUAGAAGAAUCUAGUGCUCAUACUCAUGAUCUAAUGAGCAAACAGCCCAUGCAAAGGAUGUCUUAACGGGCCAUGUCUCCACUGAUUAAGUUACCUACUUCAACGCAGCUUUUCAAGAAAGUUUCAACAUCUAAUUGGAAUUUCUCUGGAAAGUUUACAAUGUCCGAUAUUUCUACACAUCUGCCACAAAUUUAUGGAAAUCAAUAUUUAUAGAAACUGAACAUACCUUGGUUAAACGUAUAUGAAAUGGAUUAUCAUCAUUGAAGAACAUCAACCAGCUGUCGGCAACAUGCAGGUUGACUGAGGAAUUUUCCGGUGUGUCUUUUUAUGGACUGUACUUCGUCUUAGCACUAUCCUCAAGU
Long non-coding RNA from Leguminivora glycinivorella, 775 nucleotides. RefSeq lists it as uncharacterized. The record is from RefSeq and is a predicted model, not a curated record. Lineage: Eukaryota; Metazoa; Arthropoda; Insecta; Lepidoptera; Tortricidae. The transcript has 3 exons.